GAUGAAGAACGUAGUGAAAUGCGAUAAGUAAUGUGAAUUGCAGAAUUCAGUGAAUCAUCGAAUCUUUGAACGCACCUUGCGCUCCUUGGCAUUCCGAGGAGCAUGCCUGUUUGAGUGUCAUUAAAUUCUCAAGACCUGUCUGCUUUUUUGUUAGGUAUUGGAUUUUGGGGGUUGCAGGCUGUUUCAAAUAAAUAGCCUUGCUCUCCUUGAAUGUAUUAGUGGAGAAAAGCCAUUGAACUCCAUUGGUGUGAUAAAACCUAUCAAUGCCAGGAGCAAUAUCACUACUUCUCUCUGCUGUCUAACUGUGACUGUCUGUAUUAAUUAGUAUGGAUGGUGACAACUUGACCAACUUGACCUCAAAUCAGGUAGGACUACCCGCUGAACUUAAGCAUAUCAAUAAGCGGAGGA
Molecule: unclassified non-coding RNA, 408 nt
Filed under: soil metagenome
Description: partial contains 5.8S ribosomal RNA, internal transcribed spacer 2, and large subunit ribosomal RNA
Rfam family: 5.8S ribosomal RNA (bases 1-120)
Source: RNAcentral